Acinonyx jubatus (cheetah) is the source of this 1991-nucleotide long non-coding RNA. RefSeq lists it as uncharacterized. The record is from RefSeq and is a predicted model, not a curated record. The transcript is spliced from 4 exons. NCBI's taxonomy places the organism in Eukaryota, Metazoa, Chordata, Mammalia, Carnivora, Felidae.
GUGAGAGCUCCCUGGCUCGAUUAGGAGACAUGUAUUCUAGUCACUCCUCCCCUAUUAAUAGCUCUGUGAUUUGGGGAAGCUGCUUUGGCCUCUGGAUUGAAAAUGCCUCUUCAAAACUGCCAACAGAGAACUUCUCUCCUUUGAGUGAGUUGGAGAAGAUCACCACAGAACACUGCAUUCCACUGUGAAAACAAACCUGGAGGCCAAAGCGUAAGCACUUGCAGGUGGAGGGGCCUCUCUCUUGUGCCGAAAUGAAACCAUACUUCUCAACCUUUUCACCAUGACCUCGAGAAUGCUGAGCUCUGCCAGCCUGAUUUCCUUCUCACCGCUGUGCUACCUGUAACCAACCUGCCAAUGCUGAAGAGCUCUAGUUGGCUCCAUGGAAUGAAUAUCUGUCUCUGCCACUUGACUGUGAGUUCCUCCAGAGCCCGGGAUAUACCUUAGUCAUCUUAGUGUUCCAGCUCGUCCGUAGAACUAAGCAGCUGAACACUUUAGUGUAUUUAGUAUAUUUCUUGAGUUUUUACUGUGUGUCCAGCACUAUGCUGAGCUCUAAGAAUCCCCAAACACCACCUCUGAACCCAGGGAGAGAACAGUUGAUUAAAGAGAUUCAUUUCUAAUUGCUAUGGAGUAAAUCUUUUGUUUCUCCAAAAUUUUUGUGUUGAAAUCUUAACCUCAAAGUGAUGGUAUUAGGAGGUGAGACGUUGGAGAGGUGAUUAGACCCUUAGGGUGGAGCGCUCAUGAAUGGGAUUAUUGCCCUUACAUAGGAGUCCCCAGAGGGAUCCCUCACCCCUCCUCACAUGCGGAGUUGUAGGAAGAUGACUGUCUAUGAACCUGGCAGCUCUCAUCAGACACUACAUCUGCUGGUGCCUUGACCUUGCACUUCCCAGACUCCAGAACUGAAGGAAAUACAUUUUUGUUGUUUAUAAGCUACUCAGUCUACGUUUUUUUUUGUUGUUGUUGUUAUAGCAUCCUGAAUGGACUAAGACGCUAAUAAUCAUCAUGGAAUUUGCAGAGAUGCACAGGGUAUUAAAGAAAACUAGAGGGGAAUAUUUAAUAUGGCCUGUUUUUUUUUUAAGUAUGAAAUUUAUUGUCACAUUGGUUUCCAUACAACACCCAGUGCUCAUCCCAACAGGUGCCCUCCUCAAUGCCCAUCACCCACCCACCCUUCCCUCCCACCCCCGAUCAACCCUCAGUUUGUUCUUAGUUUUUAAGAGUUUCUUUGGCUCCCUCCCUCUCUAACCUUUCUUUCUUUCUUUUUUUUUUUUUUUUCCUUCCCUUCCCCCAUGGUCUUCUGGUAAGUUUCUCAGGCUCCACAUCAGAGUGAAAACAUAUGGUAUCUGUCUUUCUCUGUAUGACUUAUUUCACUUAGCAUCACACUCUCCAGUUCCAUCCAGGUUGCUACAAAAGGCCAUAAUAUGGCCUGUUUGAGGAGAUGUUCAGGGAAGGAUUCCUAGAGAAGGAAAGUGCCGAGCUGCAUUUUUUAGAGGAUGGUAUCCAGUCAAAGGCACUGGCACACGACAUAGCCAGGUGUGGCUGGAGGAACAUCAAAUGUAAAACCAAAAUGAGGCUGGAGAGAAUACCAAGUUGGGGAUAAGACUAGAAUCAGGAAAACCAGGUAGAAGACGGUUGUCGUGGUCCUGGAAAGAGAUUGGAAAGACUUGAACCGGGGCAGUUAGAGACAGAAUGGAAAGAAGAGGACCGACUUUUGCUUGAUUUAGAGAUGAAGUUGUCAGGAUCUGGGGAAAGAGGGAGACAGAGGAGACCAGGAAGACUCCCAGACGGACCCUGGGGCCAUCCCCCCAAGACAGAGGAUAAAGACAGAAAGUCAGGUUUGGGGCAAGACGGUGAGUUCGUUUAAGAUAUCUUGAGUUUGAGGUGCAUCUGACUCAUUCAGGAAAUAUGCAACAUGUACUCAAAGAUCUAUUUGAAGCUUUGUGAGGAUGGGGAGAGGGCUGGGAGUACAUAUAUAAAAUUUGUGGUCAUAAACUGGA